Molecule: ribosomal RNA, 468 nt
Filed under: uncultured bacterium
Lineage: Bacteria
Description: partial 16S ribosomal RNA
Rfam family: Bacterial small subunit ribosomal RNA
Source: RNAcentral
GACGAACGCUGGCGGCGUGCUUAACACAUGCAAGUCGAACGGAAAGGCCCUGCUUUUGUGGGGUGCUCGAGUGGCGAACGGGUGAGUAACACGUGAGUAACCUGCCCUUGACUUUGGGAUAACUUCAGGAAACUGGGGCUAAUACCGGAUAGGAGCUCCUGCUGCAUGGUGGGGGUUGGAAAGUUUCGGCGGUUGGGGAUGGACUCGCGGCUUAUCAGCUUGUUGGUGGGGUAGUGGCUUACCAAGGCUUUGACGGGUAGCCGGCCUGAGAGGGUGACCGGCCACAUGAGGACUGAGAGACGGACCAGACUCCAACAGGAGGCAGCAGUGGGGAAUAUUGCACAAUGGGCGGGAGCCUGAGGCAGCAACGCCGCGUGCGGGAUGACGGCCUUCGGGUUGUAAACCGCUUUAGCCUGUGACGAAGCGUGAGUGACGGUAAUGGGUAAAGAAGCACCGGCUAACUACGUG